RNAcentral lists this transfer RNA (73 nucleotides) under Rhipicephalus microplus (southern cattle tick). RNAcentral describes it as "tRNA-Phe". It matches the Rfam family "tRNA". From Rfam's summary of the family: Transfer RNA (tRNA) molecules are approximately 80 nucleotides in length. Their secondary structure includes four short double-helical elements and three loops (D, anti-codon, and T loops). Lineage: Eukaryota; Metazoa; Arthropoda; Arachnida; Ixodida; Ixodidae. The record is from Rfam by way of RNAcentral.
GCCGAAAUAGCUCAGUUCGAAGAGCGUUAGACUGAAAAUCUAAAUGUCUUUGGCUCGAUCCCGGGUUUCGGCG